UAGAUACCUGGUAGUCCACGCCGUAAACGAUGAGUACUAGGUGUCGGGUGAAGAACUCGGUGCCGAAGUUAACACAUUAAGUACUCCGCCUGGGGAGUACGCUCGCAAGAGUAAAACUCAAAGGAAUUGACGGGGACCCGCACAAGCAGCGGAGCAUGUGGUUUAAUUCGAAGCAACGCGAAGAACCUUACCUAAACUUGACAUACCAAUGACAGCCUUUUAAUCGAGGACUUUUACCUUCGGGUAGACA
This 250-nucleotide ribosomal RNA is filed under the name uncultured bacterium. RNAcentral's name for it is "partial 16S ribosomal RNA". It matches the Rfam family "Bacterial small subunit ribosomal RNA", at positions 779 to 1028 of the family's 1533-position model. The record is from RNAcentral.